GUAAGAAAUUUUUCUUUUAGAUUUAUUUACUAUGUACGCAGUGUUCUGCCUGCACAUAGACUUGCAGGCCAGAAAAGGACACCAGAUCUCAUUAUAGAUAUUUAUGAGCCACCAUGUGGUUGCUGGGAAUUGAACUCAGGACCUCUGGAAGAACAGUUAGUGCUCUUAACUUCUGAGCCAUCUCUCUAGCCUCCAAGAGACUUUUAAUUAUAGAGUAAAGGUAAGGACUACUUUAUGUCUGAAAUCUUCAAGAAUUAAAUAGUAGUUGGCUGAGCCAGGUGGUGGUGGCACAUGCCUUUAGUCCCACCAUUCAGGAGGCAGAAGCAAGUAGAUCUCUGUACUCCGAAUGCAUAUGUAUACAUGUGUACAAGCACAUAAACACAUAUAAAAAAUUCUCAAAGAAAGUUGAACUGUAGAUUAUGUGGCCAUUACGUUUCUAGGGGGAUAAAAAGAUGGGGUUCUUAUUCUGUAUUGUGUAUUCAGAUUGGAGGAUGCUUUGGUGAAGUUCUCUUGAGAUAGAAAGAAACCUGGAAUGUAGAGAAAUAAUAAAUAAAUUUAAAGCUCUAACUUUAAAAAUAUUAGUUAGUUUUCUAUUUCUGUGAUAAAACACCGUGACCAAAAGCAGCCUGGGGAGGAGAGGGUUUGUUUCCUGUUGUAGAUUAUAGUCUGUUAUCCAGGGACGUCAAGGCAGGGACUGAUGAAGAGGACAUCAGUUUGCUUGCUUCCCAUGGGUCAGGACCACCUUCCAUGUUGUUUUUCAUGAAGGAUUAAGCUUUUACAGAAAAGAAUAGGCAAAGAGAGUAAGCUCCUCGCUUAGAUUACAUCACUUCCUCUGUCAGCUUUGGGGCAUGUAAUGGCUUAAUCUUUAUUGUCAUCUUGACUGGAUUUAUAAUCACCUGAGGGAAACAACUCUGGUCGUGUCUGUAAGAGUGUUUUCAGAGAAAUGAUAAUGGAGGAGCUAAAACUUACCCUGAAUGUGAGUGUCACUAUUCCAUAGGAUUUUUAGUUAAGGUCUUCCUGUGUAGCCAAGGCUACCUUCAGACUUACAGUGACUCUUAUAGGAGCGGUUUCAUUGAACAUUAUCUUUGAGCUCAUACUAAGAAAAUACAACACAGAUGGGCAGUGGUGACCCAUACCUUUAGUCUACAGAGCCAGUUCCAGAACAGCUAGGGCUAUACAGAGAAAUCUUACCUC
Molecule: long non-coding RNA, 1194 nt
Filed under: Mus musculus (house mouse)
Lineage: Eukaryota; Metazoa; Chordata; Mammalia; Rodentia; Muridae
Description: long non-coding RNA chr2:121898852-121900046
Source: RNAcentral